RNA transcript from Phoenix dactylifera (date palm), 2306 nucleotides. It is a transcript of the gene named 5'-AMP-activated protein kinase-like protein, with no coding region annotated. Lineage: Eukaryota; Viridiplantae; Streptophyta; Magnoliopsida; Arecales; Arecaceae. The record is from RefSeq and is a predicted model, not a curated record.
GGGCGUACCUCCCUUCCUUAUCCUUACCCCUGGUGUCUCCUAUUCCUCUCCACCCCUCUCACUCCCUCGCCGAUCUCUUCGAAGCCCGCGGUGCAUCAAGGCAAGCGCCCCGCCGGUCACCCGCUGUCAGCACAACCCGGAUUCCCGUCUUCCGCCUUCUGAAAGCCGUCCUCCCCAGUCGUUAUUCUUCUCUUCUUCGCGUUAGUUCUCUCCCCCGCUUUUUAAUCCUAUUCGCUCUCGCUUCCCUUCUCGCAAAAGAAAGGCAGGCAGAAAGAAAGAAAGGAAGAUACCCUUAAGAAAACCCCAGCUCGCGUUGGAGAAAUGCGGCAAGAUGGCUUCGAUCACGGCCUCGCGUCCCUCCACCUUCCUCCCCUCUCGCCUCUCUCGUCCUAGACUCCCUCCCUUCUCUCCCCUCGCCCUCCGGCAAGCCCCCCAAGAGCCCCCUUCUCUUUCGCUCGUCCAAUCCAAGAACGCCGGCCUAGGGCUCGCCGACCCAUGGCGGCGAACGCGGCGGAGGGGGCCGAGGAAGAGGGAGGCGAAGGGGGAGGACGCGUCCGGGCCGGAGGGGAAGCGGAAUCUGGAGGAGGAGUUAUGCAAGUUCAUGGAAACGUCCGAGAAGCCGGACUUCUUUCCGACCAGGGAGCAGCUGCUCGCCGCCGGCAGGAAGGAUCUGGCGGACGCUAUCGCCGCCGAGGGCGGAUGGCUCGCCUACGGAUGGAAUCUGGAGGAGGAGAGGGGUGACGGAGGCAAUCUUGAUUCUUUGAGGAGUCUUGAUUCUUCGAAUAAGGAUUCCCUUCAAGAAGAUGAGAGAAUGUCUCAGCCGCGGUUUUCUUCCGAGGCGAAUGAUGGUGGGCUUCCGCGUUCGGGGGAUUCUUGCACGGCUUCUUCUUCUGGGAGAUCGAUGGAAACGGAGGGUGGGGAGGAUGGUGGGAUUGAGGGAAUAUUGAGGAGGCUGGAGGUCGAGAGGAGCUUGGCGUUUGGCAUGGGCUCCAGCAAGAAAGGAGUGAAUGGUCGAGGUUCGUUUGGUCCAGGAGAUUCCAUAUCGUUUGGUCAUGAAACGAAAGUUGGUGGGAGUGAGAUGACCAGCAGAUCUGGUGGUGUUCAUUUACAAAAUGGAACAUCAGCAGAUGUUGAUGGCAAGAUAAGUUCAAAGCCUGAUACAUGGAGGAGUUGGAGCCUUCAGAGGGCGGGCAAUCCUGCAAUCAAAUUUGAAGCUGCUGAAAUUGUUCCAACUGGUGACAUAAAUAUAUUAGAUCAUGAUCGUUCAAAUGAAGUUUCUAUGGAUAGCAAGAUGCAACUAACCAAGAGUGCACCCAGAACUGGUACUGCAAGAAAUGAAUCGCACACUGACCAAAAUCAGAUACGUGUUCGCCUUCAGCACUUGGAGUCAGAUCUCACCUCUGCACUUCACUUACUUAGGUCAAGGACUAAGGAGAAGGGACAACAAAGCUCAGUGGAGGGGCUAUAUCAGCUUUCUGAUGCUUGGGAAUUUCAAGAGACCGAGAUAAUGAAAGCUCGAGAUAAGCUACGGUCAAUUCGUGCCAAACUGGCUGUACUUGAAGGCAAGAUGGCUCUUGAGUUGAUAGAAGCACGGAAAAUAAUGGAAGAGAAACAAAAAAGGCUUAAUGCUGCUGAGAAUGCUCUGCACCUUCUUCGUACGACAUGCAUAGUUUGGCCGAACUCUGCUAAAGAGGUUCUGUUGGCUGGAUCCUUUGAUGGAUGGACAAGUCAGUUUGCACCCUGCUUAUGGAAUCAUUCUCAGAAAUCUGACCAACUACCGCCCCUAGCUAUGCAUAUGGGGUUCAAAUGAUUUGGGCCCUGGGCCCAGGAUAUCUAAAAGUUUUGCACCUUUAGCAUGUGAAGUGCAUGGAAAGAGAAGGAUGGAACAAUCAAGUUCAGGCUUCUUUUCUUUGCACCUCAAAUUAUAUCCUGGCCGAUAUGAGAUCAAGUUCAUUGUUGAUGGUGUUUGGAAAAUUGACCCACUGCGCCCUAUUGUGCACAACAACGGUCACGAGAACAACCUCCUUAUCAUCCCUUGACUGCUGUGUACAUAAUCCAUUUUUUUUUAUUCAUUUUCGAUAAUCCAUAAUCAAGAAUUUAAGAUGUGGGAAUGUUAAAUCCUUUUUGGUGAAGUAAAUUUUUCCACAUUCUUAAAUGGAGAAUAUCCUUAUUGUAAGGCCUUAUUCAUUAUCUAACCGCUUGCCCCACAAAUCAUGGAGAAGCCUUUGGGGGUGUUUUCAAUCUGGUUGAUUUUGUUGUUGAACUUUAGUUCUUCAUAUAUUCCAGAUGGGAAAAAAUUGACAACA